AGGUUUGUGACAGUUCAGGGUCAGUCUUCCAUGGGAGACCUCUACCACAGAGGCACCGCUCUAUGUGCAUCCCUCCCUGAGCUGCGUGCUCGCUCAAAUUGGACAACCUUCCCCAGUAGAGGUGUAUCAUUCAUCAGCCGAGGAAGCACAGUUGUUGCGCUCCCCUGCUAGAACCCCCAAAGAAGCUCAAGGUCCCUUUUUAGGAGAAGUUAGGGUAGUGAAGCUUCCAAAACUGCAGACACAUCCAAGUGAGGCAGUGCAUGGGGUAGGGUGUGUAUUGGU
RNAcentral lists this small nuclear RNA (282 nucleotides) under Patagioenas fasciata monilis. Its description in RNAcentral is "7SK RNA". It matches the Rfam family "7SK RNA". Rfam says of the family: 7SK was discovered as an abundant small nuclear RNA in the mid-70s but a possible function has only recently been suggested. Two independent studies have found that 7SK RNA binds the CDK9/cyclin T complex (known as elongation factor P-TEFb). P-TEFb activates transcription by phosphorylating the C-terminal domain of RNA polymerase II. The record is from Rfam by way of RNAcentral. Lineage: Eukaryota; Metazoa; Chordata; Aves; Columbiformes; Columbidae.